This is a long non-coding RNA of Brienomyrus brachyistius, 227 nucleotides long. RefSeq lists it as uncharacterized. NCBI's taxonomy places the organism in Eukaryota, Metazoa, Chordata, Actinopteri, Osteoglossiformes, Mormyridae. The transcript has 3 exons. The record is from RefSeq and is a predicted model, not a curated record.
GAAAAAUCUUACAUUUGAGCAGCAAAAACUUUCCGUGUAAUCAUUACCUCGCCUGUGCGUGAAAUUGUACGUUUACCAUCUAAACACAGUAAGCAGGACUAGUGUAUGGCGCUGGCAUGAAUGUGUCGUCUCCACCGACUAGACCCAGCAGCUGGUGGUAGAACGCACAUCCUUGGAGGGAUGAAGAGCCAAGACGGGGAUAGAGGGAGGUGAAUUCUUGUGCUUGC